Molecule: non-coding RNA, 150 nt
Organism: Caenorhabditis elegans
Lineage: Eukaryota; Metazoa; Nematoda; Chromadorea; Rhabditida; Rhabditidae
Source: Ensembl
GAUCAGCUUGGCAGUCUACUAGAAUCUUCUCAAGCCGCCCCGCACCCCAUGUUCUAUUAGGGCGGCGGGUCACUGUUACGCGUCGGUCUGGUAGUAGGCAUGUAGGUAGGCAUGUUUGUGCCUAGGCAUGGUAGUACUUACCAUUUUUCA